GAUGAACGCUGGCGGCGUGCCUAAUACAUGCAAGUCGAGCGAACAGACGAGGAGCUUGCUCCUCUGACGUUAGCGGCGGACGGGUGAGUAACACGUGGAUAGCCUACCUAUAAGACUGGGAUAACUUCGGGAAACCGGAGCUAAUACCGGAUAAUAUAUUGAACCGCAUGGUUCAAUAGUGAAAGACGGUUUUGCUGUCACUUAUAGAUGGAUCCGCGCCGCAUUAGCUAGUUGGUAAGGUAACGGCUUACCAAGGCAACGAUGCGUAGCCGACCUGAGAGGGUGAUCGGCCACACUGGAACUGAGACACGGUCCAGACUCCUACGGGAGGCAGCAGUAGGGAAUCUGCCGCAAUGGGCGAAAGCCUGACGGAGCAACGCCGCGUGAGUGAUGAAGGUCUUCGGAUCGUAAAACUCUGUUAUUAGGGAAGAACAAAUGUGUAAGUAACUAUGCACGUCUUGACGGUACCUAAUCAGAAAGCCACGGCUAACUACGUG
RNAcentral lists this ribosomal RNA (497 nucleotides) under uncultured bacterium. Its description in RNAcentral is "partial 16S ribosomal RNA". It matches the Rfam family "Bacterial small subunit ribosomal RNA", at positions 28 to 507 of the family's 1533-position model. The record is from RNAcentral.